AUGAAGGUUCUUACUACACCCCAUCCUCCCUUCCUUCCUUUCUCCUAACGGAACCCUAAAGCGUCCUCCUGUUGACUACAUUUCCUCAGUGACGUAGGAGUCUACGUACAUAAUCCAUUUAGGUGAUGCUUUUCGAUGAAUGAGUGCCCCCUCCCAUCCCCAUCACUAGUACUAUGGCUUGUCUAUAAAAACAGAACGCGGGGAGAGCCCACUUAUUUUCACCGGUAGGCUAUCCACGAUGCAAGGGGGCAAUGCAUGUGGAUCAAACAGAGAAGCUUUCACCUAUUACAGAUUAUCUGAAUUUCUGAUAUUCAUAAUGAUGAUGCAAUGCCUAUGGUUUUUAACUAAUGCAGUUACAUUUCAAUUGGUGAGCUACGAUCAGAAAGAGAAGCAUAGUUUUCACUAGAAUUUGGGUCUGUUUCUACACAACAUGGCAUGACAAUGCCCCCUUGCAGAAAAGCGAGAUCCAUACAGAAAUGGUUUGUCGAGAUCGGUAUGGAAGAACUUGACUGGCCUGCACAGAGCCCUGACCUCAACCCCAUUGAACACCUUUGGGAUGAAUUGGAAUGCUGACUGCGAGCCAGGCCUAGUUGCCCAACAUCAGAGCCCGACCUCACUAAUGCUCUUGUGGCUGACUGGAAGCAAAUCCUUGCAGCAAUGUUCCAACAUCUAGUGGAAAGCCUUCCAAGAAGAGUGGAGGCUGUUAUAGCAGCUAGGGCGGGGACCAUCUCCAUAUUAAUGCCCGCUAUUUUGGAAUGAGAUGUUCGAUGAGCAGGUGUCCACAUACUUUUGGUCAUUUAGUGUAUCUUCAAUACAUGACAACUUAUGACACUGUGGGUGCAUCCCAAAUGGCCCUCUAUGGGCCCUGCCCCUGGUCAAAAGGAGUGCACUAUAGGAAUAUGGUGCCAUUUGGGAUGCAGCCUGUAACAAAGUGAAUGGCAGUAGCCUGAAUGCCAGUAGUGUCUUCUUACCAGUCCUGAGAUAGGCUGACCUUUCAUCAGACUGAGGGGCACGACAACCACAUGGCAGAAAUGCUGGCUACUAGGGAUUCCCUGUGUGGACUCUCCAUACUUCACCUAGGGGUUGUGUAUGUGUGUGCGUGUGCAUAAAUGCAGGGAAAAUCAUUCUCCAAUGAUUAUUAUUACUAAGGCACUGCACCAGUUUACACUAUGUCAUGUCAGCACUUCAAUAAUGCCCUGAAGACACAGUUUGUCACUAAGGAGAUUAAGUGUGAAAGAGAGUGUGAGGAAAUGAUUGAAUUAAAGAGAAACUAUGAGAGAAGAAGAA
This is a long non-coding RNA of Salvelinus fontinalis (brook trout), 1287 nucleotides long. RefSeq lists it as uncharacterized. Lineage: Eukaryota; Metazoa; Chordata; Actinopteri; Salmoniformes; Salmonidae. The record is from RefSeq and is a predicted model, not a curated record. The transcript has 2 exons.